CGUCCCCACCUCUUGGGUCCGGGCACAUCAUCCCUGUCCGCUCGCGAGCGACGCGAGGCGAGGCGAGGCGAGCGCUCCGCCGCCGCGCCGCCUGCUCUGCCUCCCUGCUUGUGCUGCCGCUUCACCUGCGCUCCUAGGCUCGGCUCGGCGCUGCCGUUCCACCCCCGUCUAGACGCCACCCCUGCAGCUCCCCGUUGGUGAUGCUGCUCCGCCUCCGCACCCCCACGGCAUCCGAUCUGCGACGACGGCACCACCUCGGCCGCCGCCGCCGCCUCCAGAGCCACCACGGUGCCUCCACUUCAUCUUCUUCCUCGUCAUAUUUCCUCUCCUCUCCUAUAUUGCCUAGGGUUUGAUCUCCUCUCUCCUGAUUCCUAGAUCUUGUUUAGAUCUUGGUGAUUUUUUAUCUGAUUGGCUGUCAUCUCCAAGAUUCGCAACCUGCUGAUCACUUGAAUCGACAUUGUUGGCCUAGGUAUAUCUACGAGUAGUGCUAUAGAUGGCACUAUCGAGAGAAAUUGGUGCUGGAGCAUCUUUCAUGUGUGAUAAGCCUCCCAUCUGUUUGCCGGUUAAUUCUUGGCCUCCCAUCGCAGAUAGAAGUACUGUGCAUGCAGAUUUUGGGAAUAAGGGUACACUUGCUUGAGUGGUUUGUUAAUUACUUACCCAUAUUUACUUGAGUUUCUGACCUUUGCAGCUUCUAGAUUUUAUAUAUACACUUUCUUUGACUUCCCUGUUAUUCAACAUGGUCGGAUAUAGCUUCUUCUAGAAGUUUCCAAUGUUCAUGCCUCAUCCGUUCUUGUAUCAAAUGAUUUAUUUCUGGAAUUACUAACAUCUUUUGGAGGCUGUGCCUAGUAGCAUAACUCUUCUCUCUAUCAUCAAACUAAGAUACAUUAUAGGAAAUAUGUGACUUUUGGUUCUGAUCCUUCAGUUUCUAUGUCAUCAUUAAAGCAUUGAUAGCUAUAGUAGACUUCUCUGAACAUUACAGUUAGCUCAUUACUAAUUUUUUUUCCAUGUCUCAUUUUACUCACAUGCUGCACAUUACUGAAUUCUUUUCCAUGUCUCAUUUUACUCACAUUCUGCAGGUCUGCAGCUAUCCAUUCACGACAAGAGGGAUUCUGAUGGGUCACAUUGUAUCCAAUCAUGAGCGUUUUCAGUGUCCUGCCUUGGAGGAGUGUCUUUCUGUGUGAGCUUUCUGCUACUGCCGAAGGUCGUCAACCGCGGCCUCUGCUCCAUCGCCCAGGCCGAGUCCCUCCGCUACAAGCUCCUUGGAGGCCUCGCCGUCCGCAGGCGAAGGACCGUAUCUGCAAGUUAGUCCAAAAUGGUGUUGACAGUGGUGCGCGUCUUUUGCUUGACGGGAGGGAUAUUGUGGUUCCGCAGUUUGAGGAUGGCAAUUUUGUUGGUCCGACCCUUCUGGCUGAUUAAGCCUGUUCACCGCGUGCUUCUACUUCUGCUGUUGGCCUGCCACGAGACAUGCGAGUGCAGCUUCUGCUUCUGUCUUCAUGAAUUUCUCAAGAAUUUUAUCCUGUUGUGUGAUGGAUUAAUUGGACGUGUUGGGAUUUGAUUGAUGGAAAACUACUCUGGCUUGCAUUGCGAUCGGUUGAGAAUGAAUUGAAUAUAUUUUGUACGUCGCAGAUUUUGAGUUUUCACACGUGCUUGGAUUUUGAGUUA
Panicum virgatum (switchgrass) is the source of this 1662-nucleotide long non-coding RNA. RefSeq lists it as uncharacterized. The record is from RefSeq and is a predicted model, not a curated record. Lineage: Eukaryota; Viridiplantae; Streptophyta; Magnoliopsida; Poales; Poaceae. The transcript has 6 exons.